CCGCCCCAACGGCUUCCUGACGGGGCAGGUCUGAAAUUAUCGGAGCA
RNAcentral lists this non-coding RNA (47 nucleotides) under Pseudooceanicola antarcticus. RNAcentral's name for it is "SAM-SAH-Weickhmann-2018 RNA". It matches the Rfam family "SAM/SAH riboswitch aptamer". Lineage: Bacteria; Pseudomonadati; Pseudomonadota; Alphaproteobacteria; Rhodobacterales; Paracoccaceae. The record is from RNAcentral.